CUUUUUUCUAACGAGAGGAAUCGUAUUUGUAUUAAAUUUCAAGUUUCGAUUAAUUAAUAUAGUUUAAAUAUAGUUGAAAUAUAGUUGGAUUAAUUAAUAUAGUUGAAUAAAUCCGCGUAUAUCCUUACCUCGUGCAAUUUUAUCCUUAUUCGCGCUUUUUCAUAGAAUUCCAUCGGAAGAACCUCGAAACAAAAGGGAUCAAUCAUUUGAUUUGUUCGAUUUCGAGGCGAGAAUUUUCUUCUUUGGCAGUGGUAUAAAGUGUCUCGUAUGUUUGCGUCCAUACUUUGGAAAUAAUACAACGAAAAGUUACUGCUGAUCGUUGAUCGAUUAUUGUCAAAAAAAUUAGGUUAUGUACGCGUAUAUUCACGAAUUAAUAUGUAUUAUAAUUCUAACAGAUUUAGCAUCGAGCCGCAGGCAUUGGUCAAAUACAGGAGAUAUUAAUCGAAAUCUUGGACAAUAUUUGUUAUAUCGAUGUAAUCAAAUCAAGUGGAUAGUUACUCGUGCAGCUUGGUUUCUUAAAUUAGAUUUUCUUUAACGAUCGAGUAAGAUCUAUAAAAAAAAAAAAAAAUGUAACAAUUCCUUGAAGUGUGCAAAUUAAAUGAAGUUAAAGCAUACGAAAGCCGUCUAUUCAAUCGUAAAUUACGAUUGUUGGAGUGAUCGCCAUCCCUACAAAUUUGCAACAUCAAAAGAUCUGCCUACGAACGCUCGUUCGUGAAAAAAAAUACAACGCGUGGGCACGUUAUUAGCAUACUGAUGUCGAAUUUUAAACGGAAGACGUCAGAAAAAUUUGAGGCAGAAGAUGACACCCUGAAGAUGAAUAAAUGAUGCAAUAAAAUAUGAUAAAAUAAAUGAAUUUAUUUUAACGCAAAAUUGAAAAUGAUGUCUGGAAAAAUUAAAUUUAUUUAAUUACAUGACGAUUGUGG
Molecule: long non-coding RNA, 923 nt
Organism: Apis laboriosa (Himalayan honeybee)
Lineage: Eukaryota; Metazoa; Arthropoda; Insecta; Hymenoptera; Apidae
Exons: 3
Source: RefSeq, a predicted model, not a curated record